CAAUUAUGAUUUCAUAUCGUUAAUUAUCAAGCUAUUAUUAUCUGCUGCAUGUUUUUGAUAUUUCUUAUCUAUUGAAAUUGGAUUGAUUUUUUGUUAGGUGAACCUCUCGCUUUAGAUUGUUUGGGGUGGGAUAGCGAGGGGUUGUAUUUGUUAGUUGGGGAUCAUAAUUCACUGAGUAACAUUAGGUUACUCAUCCAACUUCGUUGUCCUUUUCGCAGGUAGCUUAGGUAUGGAUGAUCGGAUAGCUGGGUGCUGGACGUUAGGACCACCGGUGUAGAUUUUCAUGCCUUUUGUAAACGGUAUUGUGGAUUUGUGUUUAGUUGACUCGAUUUUGGCAUUAGGCCGGGACCGGUCUCGAUUAUAUCAAUGUAGGAUAUUUCUCGAAUCAAUAAAGUAAUUGUUUUAUAUGUGCUACAUGAGUACUCUGAUAUUUGACUAUUCCGGCAUAACACAAUGUUACGUCGUAGUACGGGUUGAAAAGCCUUAGGCCUUGAUCUAACAGAAAAC
This 507-nucleotide long non-coding RNA is filed under the name Brassica napus (rape). RNAcentral describes it as "long non-coding RNA (BNAP_LNC005887)". The record is from RNAcentral. Lineage: Eukaryota; Viridiplantae; Streptophyta; Magnoliopsida; Brassicales; Brassicaceae.